AGAGUUUGAUCAUGGCUCAGGAUGAACGCUAGCGGCAGGCUUAACACAUGCAAGUCGAGGGGCAGCAUUCCAGCAAUGGAGAUGGCGACCGGCAAACGGGUGCGGAACACGUACGCAACAUACCUUUUACUGGGGCAUAGCCUUCUGAAAAGAAGAUUAACACCCCAUAAUAUAAUAGAGUGGCAUCACUCAGUUAUUAAAAAUUUAUUGGUAAGAGAUUGGCGUGCGUCCUAUUAGCUAGUUGGUAUGGGUAACGGCCUACCAAGGCGACGAUAGGUAGCUGGUGUGAGAGCACGACCAGCCACACGGGCACUGAGACACGGGCCCGACUCCUACGGGAGGCAGCAGUGAGGAAUAUUGGUCAAUGGACGAGAGUCUGAACCAGCCAUGCCGCGUGAAGGAUGAAGGCGUUCUGCGUUGUAAACUUCUUUUAUCUGGGAAGAAACCCCUUUUUUCUAAGAGGGCCGACGGUACCAGAGGAAUAAGCACCGGCUAACUCCGUGCCAGCAGCCGCGGUAAUACGGAGGGUGCAAGCGUUAUCCGGAUUUACUGGGUUUAAAGGGUGUGUAGGCGGGUUUUUAAGUCAGAGGUGAAAUCCCAAGGCUCAACCUUGGAACUGCCCCUGAUACUAUUAGCCUUGAAUAUUGAUGAGGUGGGCGGAACGGGUCAUGUAGCGGUGAAAUGCUUAGAGAUGACCCGGAACACCAAUUGCGAAGGCAGCUCACUGGGCAAUUAUUGACGCUGAGGCACGAAAGCGUGGGGAUCAAACAGGAUUAGAUACCCUAGUAGUCC
RNAcentral lists this ribosomal RNA (792 nucleotides) under uncultured bacterium. Its description in RNAcentral is "bacterial SSU rRNA". It matches the Rfam family "Bacterial small subunit ribosomal RNA", at positions 8 to 796 of the family's 1533-position model. The record is from RNAcentral.